GGAUGUGAGGGCGACCUGGCUGUGACAUCUGUCACCCCACUGAUCACCAGGGUUGAUUCGGCUGAUAUGGCUGGCUAGGCGGUGUCCUUCCUCCCUCACUGCUCCAUGUGCAUUCCCUCGGCCGAAGAUGACAACCAUUCCUGAUAGAGGAAGACUGUUCUUCUGUCAAGGGUACACGAGUAGCUGCGCUCCCCUGCUAGAACCUCCAAACAAGCUCUCAAAAACAUUAACUUGUACUAUUUUGAGUCCUAUUCCUAGAAUAUUGCUCCCUGAUCAUGGUGCAUUAGUCAG
Molecule: small nuclear RNA, 291 nt
Filed under: Castor canadensis (American beaver)
Lineage: Eukaryota; Metazoa; Chordata; Mammalia; Rodentia; Castoridae
Description: 7SK RNA (ENSCCNG00000013330.1)
Rfam family: 7SK RNA
About the family: 7SK was discovered as an abundant small nuclear RNA in the mid-70s but a possible function has only recently been suggested. Two independent studies have found that 7SK RNA binds the CDK9/cyclin T complex (known as elongation factor P-TEFb).
Source: Rfam by way of RNAcentral